UUACUAGAAGCAAUUCUUUGAUACAAACGGAUUCAUUCACCUACGAAUCAAAAAAGAAAGAAAGAAAGCAAAUGCAGUUGCAAAAGCUUGUCCAAGAAAAAGAAUCAAUAAAGUGGUGCAUCAUAAGAUGAGGGCUUGGAACGUGAAUAAAGUGGUGCAAGGUGAGCAAGCUCCGAGGCCUCAUCAUGAAUUCGGCCCCGUUUCUCCAUCUCCUCUUUCUUCUUCGAUUGAUUGUAUCGAUGCUAAAAGAACCAACCAGGUAACUUCAUUUCAGUGCAGCAAAUUUUAUGAUAUAUGUUUUUCUUUCAAGAAAAAGUGGAUAUUAAUUGACCUUGCCUGCUGAUUUUGAUACCCUAAUGAAAGAGGGUGAAAACUGUGUCAAAGAAGCGGUUAAAAAUAAAAUUGAUGAUNAUACAUUCAAUACAUUUAUUGUAAUUUUUUUUUGUGAGUGUAUAUGUUUUGUUCUUUUAUUUUUCAGUAAAGUGGUAUCAGAGCCACUUAUAAAAUAUCUUCGGUCAAAAAGAAUUAUUUUAUCUUUUUAAUACUCACAAUUAUCUAAGUUUAACUAUGACAAUUGGUCAUCUAAUGAAAGCAAUUCUCGAUGCUCGUGUGAGAGAUAGUUAAAAAAGAUUAUGUAGAACUAGAAAAUAUGGAGAAACUAACAGAAACUCAGAAGGACAAAUUGAAAAAUAAAAGACAGAAAAACUAAUGUGCACUUAUUAUCAUUUAUCAAGGUUUAGAUGAUGAUAUAUUUGAGAAAAUUGUUGAUAUAACCAAUGCAAAGAAAACUUGGGAUACUCUUCAAAAUUUCGUCAUAGGAGUUGAGAAAAUGAAGAAGGUUCGCCUUCAAACUCUAAGGGCUAAGUUUGAGUCUCUAAUGAUGAAGGAGACUGAAUCUAUUUUGGAUUAUUUCACCAAAGUUUUGGCGAUAGUGCACCAAAUGAAAAGGUUUGGAGAAAAAUUAGAAGAUGUUCGUGUUGUUGUGAAAAUUCUUCAUUCUCUCAACUCAAAAUUUUACUAUGUGGUGGUAACCAUUGAAGAGUCUAAAGAUUUAAAUACGAUAUCCAUUGAUCAGUUGAAUGGUUUAUUACGGACCCAUGAAGAAAGAAUGGAUAAAGGCAAGCAAGAACAUGUGAAACAUGUCUUGCAGGUAAAACUUUUGUGGAAUGUUAGAGGAGAAGCCAACGAAAGUGGAAGACAAGGACGAGGACGAGGUCAUCGAGGCCGUGGAUGAGGAUGAGGACGUAGUUACGGAAGAAGAAGAAACGAGAAAAAUUAUUCUCAACAGAGAAAAAAUCUAAAUUUUUCUCGAGGUCGUGAAAGAGGAAGAACGGUUGAUAAAAGACAAAUUGAAUGUUAUUCAUGUAGAAAGAAUGGACAUUAUUCUUGAGAGUGUCAGACAUACAAAGAAGAAGAAAAUAAACUUGUUGUACACAGUAAAGAUGUUGAAGAAUCAACAUUAUUCCUUACGCUCAAAGAAGAUCAAAAUUCUGAAGAUAGUACGUGGUAUCUUGACAAUGGAGCUAGCAACCAUAUGACAUGUGAUAGGAGUAAAUUUGUAGCAUUCGACGCCAACGUAAAAGGACACGUGUGUUUUGGUGAGGAAUCAAAAGUAGAGAUCAAUGGCAAAUGGACGAUUCUAUUCGAGUUGAAGAACAGAAGUCAUAAGAUUCUUUCCAAUGUUUAUUACAUCCCAAAGAUGAAGAAUAAUAUCUUGAGUAUUGGACAACUUAUGGAGAAUGGUUGCAGGAUAGUCAUGGAAGAUCGCUAUCUUUGGCUUAGAGAUAAAAAUGAAAAUCUUAUUGCUAAGGUUUCUAUGACAAAAAAUUGUGUGUUCUGUUAAACAUGAGAAGUGGUGGAGCUAUAUGUUUGAAGUCAUGUAUCGAAGAUCCAUUAUGGAUUUAGCAUAUGAGAUAUGGACAUUUAAAUUUUGGUGGACUCAAAGAAUUGGAAAAAAGAAGAUGGUAAAAGGAAUUUCAACAAUUGAUCAUCCUCAUCAGAUAUGUGAAGCUUGCUUACUUGAAAAACAUUCAGGAAAGAGUUUUUCAAAGCGGUCUAAAUCAAGAGCUACCAAACCACUUCAGCUUACCCGCAAGGACAUUUGUGGACCUAUCAAGCCUUUAUCACUUGGUAAGAGUGCUUAUUUUCUACUUUUCGUUGAUGAUUAUUCAAGCAAAAUAUGGGUUUAUUUCUUGAAGCAAAAGUGCGAAGCAUUUAAUACAUUCAAAAGUUCAAAGCCCUCGUUGAAAAUAAAAGUGGUUAUAAGAUAAAAGCUCUCAGAACUAACAGAGGUGGAGAAUUCACUUUAAAUGAUUCAAGACAUUUUGUGAAAACCAUGUUAUUCGACGUCCCCUAACUGUUUCUAGAUCACCUCAAAAAAAUGGAAUUAUUAAAAAAAAAAUAAGACAAUUCUAAAUAUGGCGAGAAUGAUAUUGAAGAUCAAGUCAUUGCCAAAAGAGUUAUGGGAAAAAACAGUUGCAUGUGCAAUUUAUCUCUCAAACCACUCACCUACCAAGAGUUUGAGAGAUAUAACACCUCAAGAAGCAUGGAGUGGUUUAAAACCUAAUGUGUCACAUUUAAGGGUUUUUAGAUCUAUUGCAUAUGUCCAAAUUCCUAAGCAAGAAAGAUCGAAGCUUGAUGAUAGGAGCUAUAAGGUCGUAUUUAUUGGCUAUGAGGAGAAUACCAAAUGCUACAAGUUCUUUGAUCCCGAGAACAAUAAAGUAAUAAUAAGCAGAGAUGUUGAGUUUGAAAAAAGUACAAAGUGGGACUAGACUACAUAAAAUGAAGCUACUUAUGAUUUUUUGCCUUACUUUGAGGAAGAAGAAGCUCCCAUGCAAGAAGUGCAAGAUAAAACCAAUCCUUUAACAUUAGCAUUAACCCCACUAUUAUCAUCAUCGUUAUCUCCAUCUUCUAGUUCAAGCGAAAGCCCUCGCAGAUAUCGAAGUCUCACUAAUCUCUAAGACAAAACUAAAAUACUAGAGGAUGAUAAUUUAUUGUGUCUACUCUCCAAUGACGAGCCUUUGAAUUUUAAAGCUAUCAAAGAUGAAAAACAGAUACAAGCUAUAAAGGAGAAAAUUCAAUCAAUUGAGAAGAACAACACUUGAAAACUUGCAUCACUUCCAAGUGAUCAUCAGACUAUUGGAGUCAAAUGGGUCUACAAAAUUAAGAAGAAUGCUAAAGGUGAUGUAGAAAGGUACAAGAUAAGACUCGUUGCAAAUGGGUAUAAGCAAAAGCAAGGAAUAGAUUAUGAUGAAGUGUUUGCUCCGGUUGCUCGCUUGAAAACGAUAAGGCUAUUAUUAUUACUUGCAGCACAAAACCACUGGAAAAUCCACCAAAUGGAUGUGAAUUAUUUUUUUGAAUGGUAAUCUUUUAGAAGAAGAUUAUAUUGAACAACUUUUAGGUUUUGUUAUUGAAGGUUGUGAAGAUAAGGUGUUAAGGCGUAAAAGGGCUUUAUAUGGACUGAAGCAAGUUCCAAGAGCUUGGAAUGAUCGUCUUGAUAUGUAUUUUCAAGACAAUGGCUUCACUAGGUCCAUUCAUGAAUAUACACUUUAUGUGAAAGAGGAAAGAAGAAAUUUGUUAUUUGUUUGUGUCUAUGUGGAUAAUCUUAUAUUCACAUAAAAUAAUCAAAUAAUGUUUGAAGAAUUUAAGAAGGUAAUGGCUCAAGAUUUUGAGAUGAGUGUUAUGGGUUUAAUGUCCUAUUAUCUGGGAAUUGAAGUGAAACAAAUAGAUUAGGGGUGCACAGACCCGACCCGGCCCGAAGGUCCGGCCCGGUCCCGAACACUUUAGAGGCUAAUUUGGUGUGAUUUCAUCGGAUUUAGGGCCGGGUAAGGGUCUAAAAAAUAGACCCGGUCAUUAUUUCGGGUCGGGUUCGGGCCAUAGCUCGGGUCACCCGAAGUCGGCCCAGUGGUCCGGUCAUCAUACACAAUUAAUAUUUUGUAUUAUUAGUGAUGGAUCAUGACUAUUCUUAUGUGGAAUUUAAGUAUUGUAAAUCUUAAUAUUUUGUGUUAUUAGUCAUUAUAAGACUAUAAGUUAAUGUUUUAUGUUUAGAAUGCAUAAGACUUUAGACUAAUGCAUAAUAUUGUAUUAUUUGUAUUGAUUUAAAUAUUUAAUAUUAUUAGACAAUAUUAGUAUUGAUUGUGGUUAUACUUUAGUAUUGAUUGUGGUUAUGCUUUAAUUAUGAAGAAAGGGUUGGUUCUUGUUAUAUUUUUCUAAGUGAAUUUUACCAUGUUAAAUAAUUGUUGGAGUCUUGAAAAUUUGAAUAUUUUUACAUGCUAGCUUACAAGAAGGUAUCAACGUAAUGUAAUGUUAACGGCCCGGUUUUCACCCAGUUUUCACCCGGUAUAAUUGUGGCCCGAAAGUGUAUUGGUUUCAUCGGGUCUAGGGUUGGGUUCGGGUCUAAUAAAUAGACCCGGUGUAUAUUUCGGGUCGGGUCUGGGUCACAUCAAACCCGGCUUCACCCGACCCAUGUGCACCCCUAAAAUAGAUGAUGGAAUUUUCAUCUCAGAAGAAGCUUAUGCAAGAGAGCUAUUAAAGAAACUCAACAUGUUAGACUGCAAUCCUACCAAUAAACCUAUAGAGUGUGGAGUCAAACUUUUCAAAAAGGAAGAAGGUGUAUGAAAAGUUGAUCAAACAUUAUUCAGAAACCUUGUAGGGAGUUUGAUGGUAAUCAGUGGCUAAGAGAAUGGAGAGUUGAUCUUAGCCCCUUUUUCUGAAUAUUAAUUUUUGUCUUUUUAAAGAACUCCAGGAGAUAUUUUUACUUUUUGUCUCAUAACCAGUCAAGAGACAUUUUCUUUUUGUCUCGUAACCGAUUAGGAGAUAUUUUUCAAUUUUGUCUCCAACGUAAUAGAAUCAAAAUAGGAGUAGAAGAGAAAGAGAGAAUCGCACCCAAAAGUAUCCUGGUUCAGCUGCUAAGUGCAAUGCAGCCUACAUCCAGUCUCCAUCACAAAGUGACAAAAUUUCACUAUAAUCAUCAGAUUACAUACACCAAUUCUUUCCUAGGAUCUACCCAAUCCUAUUUGGGAUAAAUUCAAAUUCUAUCCCCAAAUCUGAACUUGGCUUGAACUCUUACCAAGCUUUCAACUGCAAAGUGCUAACCCAACUUGCAAGCGAAUCCCUACAGGAUCAUGACACACAACAUACAGAUGUACAAAGAAACUCUAAGACAUCUAUGAAUUUUUUCUUUAAUUUUGCUCACUGUCUUUUUUCUCUCACUGGCUUUUUCUUACAAACCUCACCAUGUUUGCCUUUUACCAUGAGACUCAGACAGACAAAACUAAAGAAAAGAAAACAAAAUGAAACUCAUUGAAGGAGAAGAACUCUGUUAGCUUCAGGUAACUAUGAGAACUCUGUGCUUUCUCUCCUUGUCUCAACCCUUGGCCGUUCACCCUUAUUAUAGAAGGGGAAGCUUCCAAGGUUGAAACCAGUUCAACCAAGCCGACAACAUCUUCUCCAACACACAACAGCGGUUCGGAUAGAGAGAAGAGAGAGGAAAAAAUAAAAACCAACAUGCAUGUACCUCUCUCAAUUUUCCUCAUCAAGUUCCUUCACUCUGAGUCCUUGAUCCUGAUUUUGGCUCCAAGAAAGAACUCUGACCCUUGAUGAAUCUCUGAUCCUUGACAGCUCCUUCCUUUCCAUAUUUGCUUCUUCCUCUUCGUAACUCCAGUAGCUACCUUCUAUCUUGGAAUAACAAAAAUGGAAAUGAGCUUUAUCCACUGAGAUCUUCUUCUCUGACCGAGACGAAUCUUUCCUAUUCUUGGCAUGGAAGAUCUUGAAGCUUCUCUUGAAAAUAUUGCCUUCAAUGGCAAAGAUCUAGCCACACCAUGCUUCGAAUCUUUCUUUUGAAAAAUCCAUCAUCAACCUAGCCUCUUCUUUUUCAUUAGCCUCACUGUAUCUGUACUUCUCUUCUGAUAACUUGUUCACUAUUCUUUCCGGAGUGAAGUGACCGAAUAUCAAAGAAGAGAGGAGAGAUAAUAAACAAAAAAAAAGUAUUCAAUGCACAAAUAAAUGAAAUUGAAUUGUAAUUUUCAAUUACUUAUGUAAACAUUUAACCAAAUUAGAAUUUAAGUUCCAGUAACCAAUGCAUGCAUUAAAUUAGAUUGAAAUUUGAAUUCCAUCAUCCAAAGAGUGUGGGUAACCGAACCACAUCUCUUUCAAUUCGGACCAGAGCUUGUUGCAUUACAAAGAAUAAUUGUUUUGAGCUGUACACUGGUUUUCUGGCCCAAUUAGCUUUGCCAUCCUUUCUGAAUAAUUUAGCCACAUAGUAUGGAAUAUUUUUGUACAAAGGCUGAUCACAUUUUCAUCACAUUAGACUUAUAUUGCCUUAUAUUGCCUUAUAUGCUGGGGAUAUUGACGGCAGGAAGAGUACUAUUGGAUUUGUUUUCUUUUAGGAAACAAUGCAAUUUUUUUGUUUUCAAAGAAACAUAACAUAUAGUCACUCUUUCAACUUGUGAAGCUGAAUAUGUUGCUGUCACUGCCUAUUCAUGUCAUGCAAUUUGGCUGAAGAUAUUAAUGAAGAAAUUUCAUUUUGAGUAAAAUGAAUCCACUAAGAUCAUGAUGAACAACAAGUCAGUCAUCGUCCUAGCAAAAAACUCAGUGUUUCACGACGACAAAAGCAAGCACAUAAAGACAAAGUAUCAUUUCAUUCGACAAGGCAUUGAGAACAUUCAUUUGGAGGUUGAGUAUGUGAAAUUACUUGAUCAAGUUACCGACAUUUUCACAAAGUCUUUGAAAUAUGAUGUUUUUCAAAAGUUAAGAAUUAUGAUUGGAGUCAGACAAUUAUCAAGUUUAAGGGGAAUGUUAAAAAUAAACUUGAUGGUUAGAAUUUAAGAAUAGAGAGAAACUACUAUUUAAAUGGGUUUUUAUAUUUAGUUUUAUUAUAAAGCAUUUAUUUAUUUAGGAUGUGUUAAAAUAUGUAUAAAAUCAUUUUAUAAAAUAUAUACAAUAAAUACAUUCAAUAUAUUUUUUUUCAUUUUUUUCGUAAAUGUGUGUCUUAUUCUUUUCUUUUUCAACCGUAACAACCACGGUUAAUUUGCUAUUGGAUUUAAGUCAUCAUUAAAUUUCAAUAUGAUUGAUUAUUUUUUUUAAUAAGUAAAUUUUUUAUCGAUAAAUCUUUUCUAAGAAAAACAGUAGGAUUUUUUAUGAUUGAUUAUUUUUUGAUAAGUAAAUUUGUUAUCAAUAAAUCUUUUCUAAGAAAAACGGUAGGUUUUAACAAUAAAUUUUAAACAGUAAGAUUUUUAUAUCCAAAAAGGGGUUAGGGGUUCUUAAUCAUUCAUUAAUUUAACAAUUCGGUAAUUCUUUUUAUUCGUUAAAUUUUGAUACAAUAAAUUUUUAAUCCCUUUUUUAUUUUUAUCUCUUUUCUUUUCUUGAUAUAUGCUCUCAGAUGUUGGAUGUUGAAGAACCAAAGAGAAGUUCGAAAAUACUGAGACCAAGCAGUCUCCCUGAUUUCUUAAAGAAUUAAUACAUUAAAAUAAUUUGCUGUCCUUGUUGUUUAUAUAGAUUUUGAAGAAGAAGAAUAUUAAGCAAUUUCGGAUUAUUGGGUUUGAUAUUAUUGUUGGUGUUAUCAUAUAUCUACCUGGAAGAUUACGGACGAUAGAGCAUGUAGAAUAAAAAACCAUGGUUACUUACCAUUUCAUUUCUUGUUCUGAUUUUCUCUGUUUUGCAGAUUCCAUAAUGGAACGAGGAGAUAAGAGGAGGAGAAUUAUCAGGAGCGAUAUCGGCUUUGACUGCAUGAUUUUUUUUUUCUUUGUAUAAAGAACACAUUAAUGAAAUAAUAUAUACUGUGUAUGCUGUUUUGUGUUUUCUGAAGAGGUUUUGUGGUAUUUUCCUCCUCUUUCUUUCAAGAAUUAAAUAUUGACCUCUCCAUUCUUUAGGGCGCAGUUUUAUAUUAACACCGG
Molecule: long non-coding RNA, 7892 nt
Filed under: Arachis ipaensis
Lineage: Eukaryota; Viridiplantae; Streptophyta; Magnoliopsida; Fabales; Fabaceae
Description: long non-coding RNA (AIPA_LNC000874)
Source: RNAcentral